UUUGUUUGAACAUGGUCCAUCGCGAGAAGAAAAAUCACAAGCAGCUAGUCGAACCCCUCAAAUCCAUAAUUGUUUGAGUGGUUUUGGCACCAAGUAGCGGUCAAUGCCACACUGAGAAGGUAAGUAAUCUAGUUGACUUGUUCACGCGGAUGAAUCCAACAACUUGAAUUAGGUCCUUCUAGCUCCCAAGGUCGUUGACAAAUUAAAUCCUAUGUACAUUUUUAGGACUGCUUGGCAACGAAGAAC
RNAcentral lists this long non-coding RNA (246 nucleotides) under Carica papaya (papaya). RNAcentral describes it as "long non-coding RNA (CPAP_LNC000884)". The record is from RNAcentral. Lineage: Eukaryota; Viridiplantae; Streptophyta; Magnoliopsida; Brassicales; Caricaceae.